Non-coding RNA from Picea glauca (white spruce), 119 nucleotides. NCBI's taxonomy places the organism in Eukaryota, Viridiplantae, Streptophyta, Pinopsida, Pinales, Pinaceae. The record is from Rfam.
UAUGUAAUUCCUACAAUGUUAAUGCACCAUAUCCCAUUAUAACUCUACACUUAAGUGUGCUUUGGCUAGAGUAGUACUAUGAUGGGUGACCUCCCAGGAAGUCCUAGUGUUUUACAUGC